GGCGGGGGAUCUUCGGACCUCGCGCUAUGAGAUGAGCCUGCGUUAGAUUAGCUAGUUGGUAGGGUAAAGGCCUACCAAGGCGACGAUCUAUAGCUGGUCUGAGAGGACGAUCAGCCACACUGGGACUGAGACACGGCCCAGACUCCUACGGGAGGCAGCAGUGGGGAAUAUUGGACAAUGGGCGCAAGCCUGAUCCAGCAAUACCGCGUGUGUGAAGAAGGCCUUAGGGUUGUAAAGCACUUUCAAUUGGGAGGAAAACCUGCCGGUCAAUACCCGGUAGCUUGACAUUACCUUUAGAAGAAGCACCGGCUAACUCCGUG
This 320-nucleotide ribosomal RNA is filed under the name uncultured bacterium. RNAcentral describes it as "bacterial SSU rRNA". It matches the Rfam family "Bacterial small subunit ribosomal RNA", at positions 202 to 507 of the family's 1533-position model. The record is from RNAcentral.